Felis catus (domestic cat) is the source of this 562-nucleotide long non-coding RNA. RefSeq lists it as uncharacterized. The record is from RefSeq and is a predicted model, not a curated record. The transcript has 2 exons. NCBI's taxonomy places the organism in Eukaryota, Metazoa, Chordata, Mammalia, Carnivora, Felidae.
GCACUUGUAUCCCAGCAGCACCAGCCUCCGUCUGCCUUCGUGUGGCGCAGCACCCGGCCCUCGAGUCCUGUCUGGGACCGCAGUCGCCUGCCCUCCCUCCAUCCCAGUCCCCUCGUCAUGCGGCCUGUGUCACCCAGACUCCCUGGAAACCUCAGGACGAAUUGCUGAGGGUCCCUGACGCACUCGGCUGUUCUCCACAAGCCCAGACAGCGGCUGUCAUCAGGAGGCAACGGGAAGCUGGCGCAGGAGGCUGCCAUCCUGCAGGUGCACCUGGUGGCCGUCUGCUUCUUUUCCUCUUGAUUCUAGAACUGAGGUGAUGAUCAUUUACUUCAUAACUCGACAAAUACCUGGAAUCCCUGAUCUAACUGAAGAACGACAGCAUUACAAAUAAUCUACAUGCUCCUCUCCGCUACGUUCAUCAACUAAAAAAGCACAUCCUAUUCUGUUAGAGAUGGGACCUCCGUGGUGUCGUGGAAAGUGAAAUGAAAGGAACUAGAUAAACUCACCUGAGUCUCCAACUUGUGUUAUUUACUUAGAGGCAAAUAUAACCCACUUAUCUGAC